Molecule: long non-coding RNA, 1555 nt
Organism: Phasianus colchicus (ring-necked pheasant)
Lineage: Eukaryota; Metazoa; Chordata; Aves; Galliformes; Phasianidae
Source: Ensembl
UCCUUCUUCCCCCAGGAGCGAGGGUGGAGCCUCCGUGCCCUCCCCUGCUAACCCUCAGGGAAGCGGCAGCCCGCGGGGACAGCUGCAGUGCACAUGUGGCCGCUGCGCGAAGGGAAGCGGCUCGUGAACCGCCCACGUGAAGCAGGCUGGGGGCCGGGUCCUUCUGCUCAAAUGACCCUAAAUCCACGGCGUUACCUCCGCGAGACACACGGGCAGCAAAGCACCGUGCUGCAGCCCAGCAACCUGGAGGCACGGGAUGGAGCGGGGUGCGGCCACCGGGCUGGGAGCAGAGCUGGGUGCACAGCGGUGCUGCGGUGGUGGUCGGUCGGCCCGGCCCCGGUCCUCCAAACGCGUGGGAGUUUAAUGUUACUACUGUGUGGCCGUGCCGUCGGGUCCGAGGAAUCCCUGGCUCCGCGGGAGCAGCAGCCCGCACCAGGAACGUGGUGCAGCCUCUGCUUCGGACAGGAGGACGUCCGUCCCAGGAGAAAGAGCAUCAGUUCUCAGGUAACGUGCUGCUACUUGUGGGUUUCCACGCGGAGAGAAAAUAACUUUUCUAUUAGGGCUAAAUAGUGCCCGACCCUUUGGCCUUUUCGGUUCUGUAGUUUAUCGGUGACGUUUUACAGAAGCCUAAAGAUUCCUGCUUUAUUUUGGGAGAGGUGAGGAGGCCUAAGUGUUGUGAGGGAGGGCAGCAAAUAGGAAGCCCUCCUGAAGCCUGGUCGGUUGCGUGAGAACAGCAGUGCUGGUAGUGUUAUUUGGGAUUGUCCCAUUAAAACAUGCAAGUGACAGGAUGUUACAGAAAGGCCGAUGUACUUGUUAGCUGGGGUGUGUGUUUCAGUUCACCUCGUAUUAAAAUACAAAGUGAAUUUGAAGUGGAUGCUGUGGUUUGUGUUUGGUCAAAGACAGGGCUAAAAAAAAUAAUUCUUUCUAAUUGUUUGUGGCUUAUUUUCUUGUGCUGACAAAUAUAUUUGAUGUGGUAGCAAUUAAAGAUAUUCUGUUUCGAUUAAAUUGAGGGACAGAUACUUGUUUUUGAAGCAUGCUGGUUAAUUAAACAAGAGUUAGUAAAUGGCAAAAAGCUAUAGGCAGGAUGCUUUCUGACGAUAUGCAGUUCCUUGGGGUGAAAUUAGUCACUAAGCAAAAUUUUCUGAUGAGGAAAGAGGUGAUAUUUUCAAGAUAUUAUAUACUUUGUGUGAGCUUCUUAUACACCAAUAGAGAGAGGAGCUGUGUUGAAGUGCUGGUCGUGUUGUUGUGUUGCGUAUGGUACCUCGCUUGUUCUUUCUGGUUUGGAUUCCUUAUUCAACUCUAAUAAUUUAGGCAAGAGAGAAAUGUAAAUUCUGUUUACCAAAUUGGAUGUUUGCAGCACUGAAAAAAAGAGAGAGAUUAAAAAUGGUUUGAAGUCUCUAAAAUCUAUAAUGUUGUUCUGUAGCCUUUCAAAAGGGGGAAAAAAAAAUCAAAAUAGCCAAAUUUUCACUACCAAAAUAAUAUACAAUAUUUAAAAACAAUAUAAAUUGCUAUUAGAAGGGCUUUGAAAUAAACAAUACGUUCAAACAGAAAGACA